GAUCAGGGAACCGUUGAUAACAAAUAUAAUAUGGAGGAACUUGCUAAUUCAGGCAGCUUAUCAAGUGAUCGUCCUGCUCGUUCUGAACUUCCAAGGGGAAAAUAUCCUCAACUUGAGAAAUGAUAAUCCCGGUCAUACCAAAAAAAUGAAGAACACGCUCAUAUUCAAUGCUUUUGUUAUUUGUCAGAUAUUCAAUGAGGUGAAUGCAAGGAAGCCAGAUGAGAUAAAUGUGUUGGAGUGA
Long non-coding RNA from Impatiens glandulifera, 241 nucleotides. RefSeq lists it as uncharacterized. Lineage: Eukaryota; Viridiplantae; Streptophyta; Magnoliopsida; Ericales; Balsaminaceae. The transcript has 3 exons. The record is from RefSeq and is a predicted model, not a curated record.